Molecule: ribosomal RNA, 723 nt
Filed under: uncultured bacterium
Lineage: Bacteria
Description: bacterial SSU rRNA
Rfam family: Bacterial small subunit ribosomal RNA
Source: RNAcentral
UAACGCGUAGGUAACCUGCCUUGUAGCGGGGGAUAACUAUUGGAAACGAUAGCUAAUACCGCAUAACAAUGAAUGACACAUGUCAUUUAUUUGAAAGGGGCAAUUGCUCCACUACAAGAUGGACCUGCGUUGUAUUAGCUAGUAGGUGAGGUAACGGCUCACCUAGGCGACGAUACAUAGCCGACCUGAGAGGGUGAUCGGCCACACUGGGACUGAGACACGGCCCAGACUCCUACGGGAGGCAGCAGUAGGGAAUCUUCGGCAAUGGGGGCAACCCUGGCCGAGCAACGCCGCGUGAGUGAAGAAGGUUUUCGGAUCGUAAAGCUCUGUUGUAAGUCAAGAACGAGUGUGAGAGUGGAAAGUUCACACUGUGACGGUAGCUUACCAGAAAGGGACGGCUAACUACGUGCCAGCAGCCGCGGUAAUACGUAGGUCCCGAGCGUUGUCCGGAUUUAUUGGGCGUAAAGCGAGCGCAGGCGGUUUGAUAAGUCUGAAGUUAAAGGCUGUGGCUCAACCAUAGUUCGCUUUGGAAACUGUCAAACUUGAGUGCAGAAGGGGAGAGUGGAAUUCCAUGUGUAGCGGUGAAAUGCGUAGAUAUAUGGAGGAACACCGGCGGCGAAAGCGGCUCUCUGGUCUGUAUCUGACGCUGAGGCUCGAAAGCGUGGGGAGCGAACAGGAUUAGAUACCCUGGUAGUCCACGCCGUAAACGAUGAGUGCUAGGUG